AACGCACCUUGCGCUCUUUUUUAUGUUUGAGUGUUAUGAAAGUAUCAACCUUGACUUGGGUUUUGUGUCGUCUUGCCUUGGAAUUGGGUGCUUGUCGCUUUUACGAGUGGCUCACCUUAAAUGUAUUAACUGGAUUUGUCUCGAGAUUCUGUUUGACUUGGUGUGAUAUGUAUUUCGCUCAGUAUUUCGCUCAGUCAUCCUUCGGAGUGGCCUAGUUUUAGGAUGCUUGUCAGCUUCCAAUACGAGUUCCAUUUUGUAGUUACGACCUGCUUAAUGAACUGGCCUCAAACCACGUAGGACUACCCACUGAACUUAAUCAAUAAGCGGAGGA
This 331-nucleotide unclassified non-coding RNA is filed under the name uncultured Solicoccozyma. Its description in RNAcentral is "sequence contains ITS2". The record is from RNAcentral. Lineage: Eukaryota; Fungi; Basidiomycota; Tremellomycetes; Filobasidiales; Piskurozymaceae.